UACGGAAGGUGCAAGCGUUAAUCGGAAUUACUGGGCGUAAAGCGCGCGUAGGCGGCUUGGUAAGUCGGAUGUGAAAGCCCUGGGCUCAACCUGGGAACUGCAUUCGAUACUGCCGGGCUGGAGUACGAGAGAGGGGGGUGGAAUUCCAGGUGUAGCGGUGAAAUGCGUAGAGAUCUGGAGGAACACCAGUGGCGAAGGCGGCCCCCUGGUUCGAUACUGACGCUGAGGUGCGAAAGCGUGGGGAGCAAACAGG
RNAcentral lists this ribosomal RNA (253 nucleotides) under uncultured bacterium. RNAcentral describes it as "partial 16S ribosomal RNA". It matches the Rfam family "Bacterial small subunit ribosomal RNA", at positions 524 to 776 of the family's 1533-position model. The record is from RNAcentral.